GAUGAACGCUGGCGGCGUGCCUAAUACAUGCAAGUCGAGCGAACAGACGAGGAGCUUGCUCCUCUGACGUUAGCGGCGGACGGGUGAGUAACACGUGGAUAACCUACCUAUAAGACUGGGAUAACUUCGGGAAACCGGAGCUAAUACCGGAUAAUAUAUUGAACCGCAUGGUUCAAUAGUGAAAGACGGUUUUGCUGUCACUUAUAGAUGGAUCCGCGCCGCAUUAGCUAGUUGGUAAGGUAACGGCUUACCAAGGCAACGAUGCGUAGCCGACCUGAGAGGGUGAUCGGCCACACUGGAACUGAGACACGGUCCAGACCCCUACGGGGGGCAGCAGUAGGGAAUCUUCCGCAAUGGGCGAAAGCCUGACGGAGCAACGCCGCGUGAGUGAUGAAGGUCUUCGGAUCGUAAAACUCUGUUAUUAGGGAAGAACAAAUGUGUAAGUAACUAUGCACGUCUUGACGGUACCUAAUCAGAAAGCCACGGCUAACUACGUG
RNAcentral lists this ribosomal RNA (497 nucleotides) under uncultured bacterium. Its description in RNAcentral is "partial 16S ribosomal RNA". It matches the Rfam family "Bacterial small subunit ribosomal RNA", at positions 28 to 507 of the family's 1533-position model. The record is from RNAcentral.